GCAGAGUACCAGACAACAGUGGAUAUUCACUCGAAUGCAGCAGAUUCUUUGGGGAGCGUGGCCUGAGGAUAGGAUGGUGUUGAGAGCCGAACUGGAACUAGACUAUUCGGAAUCCAAGAGAGACAGGAAGAGAAGAAAGAGGAAACACCUCCC
Long non-coding RNA from Tupaia belangeri chinensis (Chinese tree shrew), 153 nucleotides. RefSeq lists it as uncharacterized. The record is from RefSeq and is a predicted model, not a curated record. The transcript is spliced from 3 exons. NCBI's taxonomy places the organism in Eukaryota, Metazoa, Chordata, Mammalia, Scandentia, Tupaiidae.